RNAcentral lists this long non-coding RNA (1548 nucleotides) under Pan troglodytes (chimpanzee). Its description in RNAcentral is "long non-coding RNA NONPTRT015423". Lineage: Eukaryota; Metazoa; Chordata; Mammalia; Primates; Hominidae. The record is from RNAcentral.
UCUGAAACCAUGGUUACUUGUUGCUUUACUUCAGGCCCCACAUUUGUGGGGUCUUCUUGUUUAAUUUCAGGGUUUGUACACAUGAGAGCUUCUAGCUUAAAUUCAAAAUCUGUUGCUACAGGUAAUUUUUGAUUGAUUUCAGGGUGUGUACACAUGGAGUCUUCUUGCUUGGAUAUAGGAUCUGUACAUAUGGGAACUUCCUGUUUGGAUUCAUGGCCUGUACACAUAAUUUCUUGCCUAGAUUCAGGGUCUGUCCAUAUUAAAACUUCUUGCCUGGAUUCAGGGCCUGUAUACAUGGGAACUUCUUGCCUGGGUUCAGAGUCUGUAUACAUGGGAACUUCUUGCCUGGCUUCAGGGCCUGUACACAUGGGAACUUCUUGCCUGGGUUCAGGGUCUGAACACAUGGGAACUUCUUGCCUGGAUUCAGGGCCUGUACACAUGGGAACUUCUUGCCUGGAUUCAGGGCCUGUACACAUGGGAACUUCUUGCCUGGAUUCAGCAUCUGAACACAUGGGAACUUCUUCCCUGGAUUCAGCGUCUGAACUCAUGGAUAUUACUUGCUUGUCCAAAGUUAUUACGCCUUUGGGUUUUUGGAAAAACCAUGGAGAUUUUUGUCCUGGUAAAAGAUAUGAUGCCAUUCCUUUAUAAAAAAGAGCUUUGUUUGGUCCCAGAGGUAAUAUCUCUUCUAAUUUUUUCUCACCUUGAUACAAGUGAAGAACUUUCGAUAUGUGGUCUGACACAGCUAAUAUGGUGUUACCUUUUUUGUCAAAGUUCUCUUUUACAGAGGUGUAGGAUGAUAAGCAUUUGUACCUAAAGCUUUCAAACAUGCCCUCUGGGAUUAUGUCGUUGCCAAGGAGGCAGGCCAGAAGAGGAAGGUCGGCCACACAGAGGCCCAGACUCUCACAGAGCUUCUCUCUGCAGAGCAUGACGGUGUCCAGGCUCUCUAGGCAGAGCUCGCUAAUUGAAAAGUAGGGACAAGUGUCAUAGAUUAGGUAAUCAGUGUCUUCCCCCAGAAUCCCAAGACAGUUAUGCUGGAGGCCAUAGGAAGCUACCUCAUAAUCUGCUUCCUGCAAGGAACACAAAGUUUCCUGGCCCAGUGUCUUUAGAGCAAAUCGUGUAAACACAGCUAGCCCUGAGGGGAUGAAGAACAUAUUUCUGCCUGGCUGCUCCUUGUGUGACUUGAUGUAAUGAAAAAUCCUGGAUAUCUCCCUGUUGUUCUUGAGCCUUCGUUUCACCCAUUCAUCUCUCUUAUCCUGCUCCACCAUGCCAUCAAAGAAGAAUAUCAACUUGAUUCCAGCUGCUGUAAAAGUUUUAACAAAAUCUCGCAAAGCAGAAAAGUAUUCUCGCCACUGGCCACCGCAGAUCCAAGAUUCUGGAGUAUACCAAUAUCUGAGACAACACAUGGCAUCAACCACAAUGGUAGGGGUACAUCCAGGAUACUUGCUUCGGUGGUGCUCUGCCAGUUCUUUGAAAUUUACUACUGUACAUAUAUGUGGGCAGGUACUUCCCACAAAUCCUUGCAAACCUCUCACACCCAUAACUGAACUC